RNAcentral lists this small RNA (17 nucleotides) under Arabidopsis thaliana (thale cress). RNAcentral's name for it is "ATSL015180". Lineage: Eukaryota; Viridiplantae; Streptophyta; Magnoliopsida; Brassicales; Brassicaceae. The record is from RNAcentral.
AAGAGAUCUACAACGAA